UGAGCUUGAUGAAAUUUCAAA
Molecule: non-coding RNA, 21 nt
Filed under: Caenorhabditis elegans
Lineage: Eukaryota; Metazoa; Nematoda; Chromadorea; Rhabditida; Rhabditidae
Source: RNAcentral